This is a small nucleolar RNA of Fukomys damarensis (Damara mole-rat), 127 nucleotides long. NCBI's taxonomy places the organism in Eukaryota, Metazoa, Chordata, Mammalia, Rodentia, Bathyergidae. The record is from Ensembl.
UUAGUGCUUCCACAGGUCCUCCCCUAGGCAGGAGGCCAGGAUUUGAUAGCUGGUGCUGAGAGAAAACCUUGAUUGCAUCCUUGCCUUGGUAAUAUACCAGUGACAGCUGUCACUCAGUGGGAUAGAC